AAUUUUAUAUUUAAUCUUUCAUUACUUUAGAAUUCAUUUCUCUCUGAUGCAGUUGUCAAAUUUAUUCUUUCCAAACACAGAGCCAGUCAUGCUGGGCUUUUCAUUAAGCAAACACAGAGCCAGUCAUGCUGGGCUUUUCAUUAAGCAAAUAGUCGUUUUCCCACAGAAUUGGAUAGUAAAAUGUUAUCAUCUUAAAUAAAACCCUAAAUCAGUCUCGAGGGGUGCAGGGGAGUCAUACUUUAAAAAACAUGCUUAAACUUUGUUCUGGUUUAUUUUUUCCUCUUUGUGAUUCACAGGGAGUUCAUCUAUGACCCUGACUGGAAACAGCUAUGUGAAAUACCGUCUGACGGAAAAUGAAAACAAAUUAGAGAUGAAACUGACCAUGAGGCUCAGAACGUAUUCCACGCAUGCAGUUGUCAUGUACGCUCGAGGAACUGACUAUAGCAUCUUGGAGAUUCAUCAUGGAAGGCUGCAGUACAAGUUU
RNAcentral lists this small RNA (484 nucleotides) under Pongo abelii (Sumatran orangutan). RNAcentral's name for it is "retained intron". Lineage: Eukaryota; Metazoa; Chordata; Mammalia; Primates; Hominidae. The record is from RNAcentral.